CUACUUAAGCAAUUCUGUUUAAGUUCUCAUAUUAUUAUUUAUAUCACUUUUAUUUUACAAAAUUGUCUGUUAUUUUGUUUUGGCCAUUCCUCAAUUUUCUAACUUUCUAAAUCAUUGUUAUUUUAGUAAAAAAAAUUUAAACAAUAGGUAGCUGUGAUUCUUAAAAUUCAGUUUAAGGGUCUGUUUAAAGAAAUGAUUUUUAAAACUUUACACCAAUUAUGAUCACUGAAAUAUUUGAAGUGUUUCUGUCAUGUAUAUUUUGUUUCCUAUGGAUUAUGUUUUUCUUCUUUCUCCUUUUCUGCCUUGGAUUAGGUCAAUGGUUCCAAGCAAGGUUCUUCUGGCUGUCAUAUGGUCACAACCAGCAGGCAGUGCUACUAGCAUCACGUGGGAAGGGGGAAUAUAAAGAGGAGGAAUAAUGGAUUCGAGUGGGAUGGAUGAAGAUAUAAUCCUGACACUUGCUGGGCCUCAUGCAAUCCUCACAGAUUAAAUAAAUUGGACCUUCAAAAAAAGGAAAUAAUCCUACAAAGGGAAUCACAGAUACAAGGAGGACUAAUAAGGUAAGCAUGUAGGUAAAGUAUACUGUCCACAUUUAAGUGCAUAUAGAGUAAUAUAAAUACAAGCAUAGAUUUUUUUUUGUUUUAUUUAUUUUUUAUAUAAUGAUUUUUAUUUUUUCCAUUAUAGCUGGUUUAGUGUCUGUCAAUUUUCUACCGUACAGCAUGAUGACCCAGUUACAAUCCACGUAUACAUUCUUUUUUCUCACAUUAUCAUGCUCCAUCAUAAGUGACCAGACAUAGUUCCCAGUUGGUAUACAGCAGGAUCUAGAUUUACAGAAUUACAAGAGGGAAUUGAAAGAAAAAUCCACCAUUUCAGAAGUAGUUCUCAAAACUCUCAAUAAGAAAAAGACAAAGCUGACAAGUUUCUAGAUUCUUAAAAAUUUAUGUGAAGGGAAGAGGAAGAGAGACCUAUAUUCCAAAUCUCAAGGAAUUUUACAAAUAUCUACACUAUGUUAAAAUAGGAUAAAAUGUAUUAGAAAUACAGAAAAAUUUUCAAAUCUAUUUUUAGAUGAGAAAAUUAGUCAUUCUUUGUCUAUAUUGAGAAGUCUCAUAAUUUCUCAGCUAAUCUCUGUGAACAGGAACUCAAAUCACUUUUAUAGCAAAGUACUAAAUGAAUAUACAAGAAAUAGACUCUCUUUCAUUGUAAUUAAUAAGUAGGGUAGAUACAAGUGAAAAUGUACUCAAAUCAAGUCAUUCUCUUUUAAUCUCAUGUACCUUUUCAUAAAAAUUUUCACUUACUUUUGGGCAAAAAUUUUUAUUUUUAUAUCGAUUUUUUUCCAUAUAGAUAUAUUCCCCUUAGAAGACAAAAUCUCUGAGGAAGAAAUGUAUUCUCUGUAUUUAAGCUCUGAUUAAAGACAGCAAUAUUUUGCUCAAGAAUACAGUUUUGAAGGAGUUCCCUUGUGGCAUAGUAGGUUAAGGAUCUAGUGUUGUCACUGCAGUGGCUCAGUCACUGCUGUGGUGCAGGUUUGAUCCCUGCCUGGCCUGGAAACUUCCAUAUGCCACAGGCAUGGCCAAAAAGAAAAAAGAAAAAAAGAAUGAAGUUUUGAGACAAAUGUGUGGCUUUUUGCCUUUUAAAAGAACUGGGAUAUUCUGAAAUCACUGGUAUGAUUUUUAUAAUGGCUAUCAUUAAAUAAUACCUUAACUAAUUAAAAACUGAGGAACCAAUUAUCAGUUUUUAAUAAAUGUAUUGUGUUAUUGUCACUACAGUACUAUAAACUAUUACUUGUGGUGGUAUAUGAAAUUAAUAGAAGUAUAUUUAUUUUUUUUUUCAGGAAUAGCUCCAAACCAUUAAAAUAAAAAGAUUUAUAUAAGUUUACUGGAAAGGUUAACACACAAGCAAUUACAUAAACCUUUGUGUUGUUUCAAACUGACUUUGCCUUCAACCCCACAAAUUAAACCAAAUUUUUUCUUGUAAUGUAGAAUUAUUUGGCUAUAGAUAAACCUCUGUUUUCUCUCAGAGUUCUCACAUCCUUUUUUGUAUAAGCAAAUUUUUGUCUAGAACAGUUUUAGUUUCACAACAAAAUUUAAGCAGAAAGUAUAGAUAGUUCCUUCAUACCACUGGCUACUACACAUGCACACUUUCCUGCACAAUGAAAUCCUACCAGAAGGGCACAUUUGUCACAACUGAUAAACAUACAUUGACACAUCAUUACCACUCAUGUCCGUAGUUUACAUUAGAUUUCACUCUGUGUUGUGCAUCUAUGGAUUUAACAAACAUGUAAUGACAUGUAUCCAUGACUACAGUGUCACACAGGAUAGUUCCACUGCCCUAGAUAACCUGUGUACUCUCCCUGUUUUUCUGUCCCUCCUGUGGCAAUCACUGAUCCAUUUACUAUUUUCAUAGUUUUGCCUUUGCCAGAAUGUCAAAUAGAUGAAAUCACACAAUAUUUUCAUUUUGGUUUUUUCUUUUAGUGCUCCGCAUUUAGGUUUCCUCCAUGUCUUUUCAUGGCUUGGUAGCUCAUUUCUUUUUAAUGCUAAAUAAUACUGCAUUAUCUGGAUAUAUUAUGGUUCAUUUAUCUACUCGCCUGUUGAAGGACAUCAUUGUUGCUUCUAGUUUUGGCAACUAUGAAUAAAGAUGCUAUAAACAUCUGUGGGAGGC
RNAcentral lists this long non-coding RNA (2652 nucleotides) under Sus scrofa (pig). RNAcentral's name for it is "lncRNA (ENSSSCG00045010280.1)". The record is from RNAcentral. Lineage: Eukaryota; Metazoa; Chordata; Mammalia; Artiodactyla; Suidae.